RNAcentral lists this long non-coding RNA (1521 nucleotides) under Mus musculus (house mouse). Its description in RNAcentral is "LIM homeobox 1, opposite strand". The record is from RNAcentral. Lineage: Eukaryota; Metazoa; Chordata; Mammalia; Rodentia; Muridae.
GGAGAAUGCGGGGAGACCGCGUUUAGAGGAUCAGUGGCGGCGGGCCCGCGCGGUGCCGGCGACUAGCAGCGAGAUGUCCUGGCCCCUUCCAGGUUUGGGAGAAUGGAGAGAGCAAGGUGUAGCUGAUUAGCAAGUUAAUUAUUUCAGUACCCCAAGGGUUCAUGCGUGGUGGAGAUGGCCUUGGGAGAGCAACCUCCGGACCUCAGCAGUGUGAGGAUGACAACAGUACCCUGUGGUGCUGUCCCCACUCAGGUUGGCUGCCAUCCCUGCUGAUGGAGAGAGGCUGAAGUCUGUCUGAGAAGAUAGUGCAGGCAGCUACUUAGCUGGUACUAAUUGUAUUUGCAGAGUAGGGGUGAGUCCAAUUCCUACUCAGAUUAGGUUUAGCCUCCCUGGCCUCACAGUGCUGGGAUGUUUGCAUAGGACAGAAGGUAGCAGAGAAACUUCAAGGGCAGGAAAGGGCAGAGGGAGGAGUUCCAUGGAUCAGCCUUGCCCAAGUGGAGCCCAGGGAUGUUAGCAACAGGACACGAAGGAGAGCACUAGGCUUCCGUGUCGAGUCCUGGGUAAAUCUGGAAGAACCUGCAAGUUGUCAUUUAGUUAUCUUCUCUGGGAUAAAAUGUGAUUUCCCUUCAGUGUCAGUGGCUGGUGAGCUCUUCUUCCAGAACCUUCUUACUGACACCUGAGUUUGACCUUUCAAAUGGGGACCCUGCUUUCCCAACUACCUAGCUUUUCUUUGCUUCGGGCAAACAGCUUACAUCCAAGUCCCCUGACCAGUCUUAAUUCUUUGUUUUGUUUUGUUUUUCAAUACAGGGUUUCUCUCUGUAGCCCCGACUGUCCUGGAACUCACUCUGCAGACCAGGCUGUCCUCAAGCUCAGAGAUCUACCUGCCUCUGCCUCUGAAGUACUGGGAUUAAAGGUAUGUACUAGCAUUCUGGCAGGUCUGUGCCAAACUUGUUCUCAUUUGGGCCACAGCAAGGAUAUAGUAUCCCCUUAAACAAAAGAAGCAGGGGUCCAGCAUAAUGCAUCUUCCCAGAAAAGAUUUGCCAAUGAUUUGAUAAAUGCAAUCUCUAUUCCCUCUUCGGAGUGAGUAGCUUUGUCAGUCAUGCCAAGGGCCUGCAGAAGCUGUAAGGUUGCUUGGGCUGGUCUUCCUCUUUUACUCGACUGGAGUUUGGGCCUGCUUCUGACAGACUAGGGGGAGCAGACACAUUCCAGACCCAGAGCCUGGUGGUUAUCUCUCCCCAGCCCUAAGUCCUUUCCUUUUGUUUCCACUUACUACAGAUGCAGAGGCCUCCCAGAGAAGUGUGAAGGAAUGGGCCUUAACCAGGGUUGAAGAAAGAAAGUGAAGAAGGGGAGAGCCCAAGGAAAGGUGGGGACAGUUGGAACUUUUGUUUACACUGGUCUACUACUCAUGUAUCGUAUGCUAUAAUCUCCAAAUUCCACAUUUAUUGUAGCUGUCUGCAGUGUGUAUGCCCCGGCCGCAUGCUGCUUGGCUAAAAAAGUGUUAAAUAAAACUGUAAGAAACGC